GAAAUUAACAAUAAUUCUUUGAAUUUUUGUUAUAUUUUUUAACUCUGGACAGCCUUUGGCUUUAAUGGUAUUUCUACAUUUCCUGGUGACUAGGAAAAAUAUUAAGGUAGAGUCAUAUAUCACCUAAGACAGGGAUAAGUUCUGAGAAAUACAGUGUUAGACAGUUUCGUCCUUGUGCGAACAUCAUAGUAUGUACUUACACAAACCUAGAUGGUAUAGCCUACUACACACCUAGGCGAUAUGGUACUAAUCUUAUGGGACCACCGUUGUAUAUGUGGUCCCUUGUUGACCGCAACAUCAUUAUGUGACACAAGACUGUAAUGUCAUAAAAUUUAUUCUUUUUAUUUUACCUUUCUCAUUUCUUGAUUGACCUUAUUUUGUAUAUGUAUAUAAAUAACCUGGAUACUGCUUGGUCACCAGGAGUGUACAGGUUUUUGAACAUUUGGAAAUUAUUUUUUUUUUUAAUGAUUGGCACCUGAGCUAACAACUGUUGCCAAUCUUCUUUUUUUUCUUUUUCCUGCUUUCUCUCCCCAAAUCCCCACAGUACAUAGUUGUAUAUUUUAGUUGUAGGUCCUUCUAGUUGUGGCACGUGGGUGGUGCCAUGUCCGCGCCCAGGAUCUGAACCAGUGAAAGCCUGGGCCGCCGCAGCAGAGCGCGCAGACUUAAUGACUCAGCCACGGGGCCGGCCCCUCUUUGGAAAUUUCACACAGCAAAUAGGGAAUUAAUAUAGAGGUUUUCCUCCUAUAAAAGGGCUUCCAUUUGAUUUUAUGUUCAAAACUAUAUAAUGUACUUUUGUUUUACUGUCUCUGAAAUGACUAAAUCUUGCCCUUGGAAAACCUGAAUCUUUGCACAUGUUAUUUCCAGAGUCUACCUCAGUUAACCAGGUUUAGUUUUAGGUAGGAAUGAAUUGAAACCAUGUUUAAAUUCGGUUCAUCAUCUAUGCAGGUUUGUUUGUUUAAGCAGUUCCUUCUCUCCCCUCUUGCCUUACUCUAGUUAACUUUUUUUAAUCCUGAAAUUUUAAUUUAAAACAUUUGUCUUUCUUCCUCUGGCAAAGCCAUAUAUUCCAAAUUAAGCCUCUGUGAAAUGUCUGAAUUCUUUUUCUCUCUUUGUUAUGGCUAUCUUCAUUAUUUGGAUGUAUUUCAUUUCAAGGAGGAGUUUGAAACACAACACACGUCCUCCUGUUUUCUCAUAGCUUCAUAAAGACAAAUUAAUGUGACAACAUGAAAAGCCUUGGACCCUAGCAGUUCCUGUGUCCGUUCUCUAAGAACCUGAGUACUUACUGACAGCAUACAGAAACGGACACCUGUCUGCUCAUAUGGCAGAGCAGCAGGGCGUCUCCUUCAGUUAGCGUUGUGUGGACAUGUCCAGCGAGAUCACUACAGCUUACCACGUGCAUAUGCCCAGUGCUGCCUAGUGAUGUGACAUGGCGAUGGGCUCAUACGGCAGAACAUACUUGAGUGUCGGGAUGUUUGCCCAGAGAAGCCAGGAAUUUAGCUGGUCUUCUUGGGACCCUCCCUGUAAAUUUGGAGAGGCUCAGCAGUGACCGAGGGCCUUGAGACCUGAAACUGGGAGCAAAUGGUGUGGUCCAGUCCCCUCAUCUUACAGGAGAGGAAACUGAGCUUUAUAGAAAGACUUGCUCUAGUUAUUUGGCUACUAAGAAAUGGAAGAAAGAAUGGAACCUAGGUGAACAAUUACAAAAAACAUAUAAGCACAGUCUGGCCUAUGGUGAUGACCUCUCUGAAUUGAGAACCAUGAGAUUUCAAAGGUCACAUGAUUUGGCUCCAGUGAUAGAAUCUAGGUUUCCUGCAAACCUAAAGGAAUUCAGCAAGUGGGAGCUGCCUCGGGCCUCUGGAUGUAGAGGGACUGAGGCCUAGUGAGGUGAUUUGCCCAAGAUUGCACAGCAAGACUUUACUACAGUGCUCUCUUCACAACAUCAACUUGGAAAAUGUUGGAGAAGAAUUGCUGCUUUGCUAAUUGUAAGGGAAAAUGGUUCUCUUGUUCCUGAAAUCAUACCCCUCCUGGGAGACAGAGGAAUAAAACAGAACCUGAAUGGUCAGUCUUGGAAUGAAAACUGGCUCAAUUUUCUAUCAAUUUUUUUUCUCAGCCACAUUCGUAUUAGGGGCAACUUAUUUAAAUUUAUUAUGUAGCAUCAACAGAGCACCAGGAUUUGUUUAGUGCUACAGUAAGUCACAGUUCCUGCCAAGGCAAAUUGCAUCUCUAUUUUAUAAAUAGUCUGUACCCUGUGCUUAUUUGAUUUAAAAUAAAAUCUGUAUGUAG
Molecule: long non-coding RNA, 2277 nt
Filed under: Equus asinus (donkey)
Lineage: Eukaryota; Metazoa; Chordata; Mammalia; Perissodactyla; Equidae
Description: lncRNA (ENSEASG00005037325.1)
Source: RNAcentral